This 76-nucleotide transfer RNA is filed under the name Candidatus Omnitrophota bacterium. Its description in RNAcentral is "tRNA-Ala". It matches the Rfam family "tRNA". Rfam says of the family: Transfer RNA (tRNA) molecules are approximately 80 nucleotides in length. Lineage: Bacteria; Pseudomonadati; Candidatus Omnitrophota. The record is from RNAcentral.
GGGCCUGUAGUUCAGUCGGGAGAACGCCUGCUUUGCAAGCAGGAGGUCAGGAGUUCGAGCCUCCUCAGGUCCACCA